RNAcentral lists this ribosomal RNA (209 nucleotides) under uncultured bacterium. RNAcentral's name for it is "partial 16S ribosomal RNA". It matches the Rfam family "Bacterial small subunit ribosomal RNA", at positions 568 to 775 of the family's 1533-position model. The record is from RNAcentral.
CGCGCAGGCGGCGCGUUAAGUCCGGGGUGAAAUCCCACGGCUCAACUGUGGGGGGACCCUGGAUACUGGCGUGCUGGAGUGCGGGAGAGGGAAGCGGAAUUCCGCGUGUAACGGUGAAAUGUAUAGAUAUGUGGAGGAACACCGGUGGCGAAGGCGGCUUCCUGGACCGUAACUGACGCUGAGGCGCGAAAGCUGGGGGGAGCGAACAG